CGGGAGAAGAGGAGGAGGCUGCCUG
This 25-nucleotide non-coding RNA is filed under the name Cricetulus griseus (Chinese hamster). Lineage: Eukaryota; Metazoa; Chordata; Mammalia; Rodentia; Cricetidae. The record is from RNAcentral.